CACUGUGGAAUUUGCGCAUGGGCGAAGCCUGAUGCAGCCAUGCCGCGUGAGUGAUGAAGGCCUUCGGAUUGUAAACCUCUUUUCUUUGGGACGAUGAUGACGGGACCCUUACAAGAUUGUCCGGGCCUUUUCGUGCCAACACCCCCGGGAU
Molecule: ribosomal RNA, 151 nt
Filed under: uncultured bacterium
Lineage: Bacteria
Description: partial 16S ribosomal RNA
Source: RNAcentral